UUGCCUAAUAAUUCUGCACUCCCUGUAUAUUCCGCAGAGUAGCUGUUGACAUUAUAGUUGCGCAGGCAUUUUGUUGACUCUAGAGAACCUCGGGCCAAUCACACAUCCCCGUGACGCCGACUUUGCAUUCUGAUGUCACCCAUAUCAACUUUCUAUGCCAGUUUCUGCGCCUACCAUGGUGACCACGGGUAAUGGGGAAUCAGGGUUCCAUUCCGUACAGGGACCCUGAGAAACGGCUACCACAUGCAAGGAAGGCAGCAGGCGCGCAAAUGACCCACUCCCAACGCGGGAAAGUAGUGACGA
This is a non-coding RNA of Pelobates cultripes (western spadefoot toad), 303 nucleotides long. The record is from the annotation of a GenBank genome assembly. Lineage: Eukaryota; Metazoa; Chordata; Amphibia; Anura; Pelobatidae.